AUGUUCUUCCCAUAAGCUCAUGGCUUUUGAGAAUACUGUUGGUCCCAAAGGGGAGACAGUAGUUGGUCAAAGGAAUACCACCUCAGCCCAGGAAGGGGACUGUGUACUGAAGGAACAGUAAGGUGUCCUUGAGGGGUUUGAAGGGUUCCUGGUGAGGCUCGAUUGUGUUGUAGGAUGAAGGCUGAAGAGUGGGGUGGGAGGCAGGGACGAGGAAGGAGAUGGGUCAUGAGCUCUAUUAAAAUGUAUUUUUGUAAUUCCGAGUUGAAAAUAGACAUACCGACUUCAUGCUGACUGUUUCGGCUUCGUGACAUAGCCUGGCUCGUGGGGGCCUUCCCAUUCAGCACGUCUCCGUGGCAACAGGCCACUUUCUCAUUCACGCCAUCUCCAGGGUUACCUUGCUUGGCUCAUUCAGGACUGUUGCCAUAGAGACAGGUCCAUUGAUACAAUCUUGACGCUUUGGAACUUUGCUUUCCCGAAUGAUGGAGUAUUGGCCGUGGGGUACGGAUGACAUUGUGAUAGGGUGUGAGGCGAAGAGAGUUCUGGGAGUUGAGGUAUAAAGACUUAAAAUCUGGCAAGAGGAAGAUGAGGUCAUGGUAGGAGAUAUGCUCACAGUCUUUCCAGAGAGACCGUCACCCUCUCCCCAAGGGGGCAGCCUGAUGUUCCAGGAGGUGGCAGCCACUCGUCCAGGUCAGAAAGCGACUGCCAAGAACUCACUGGACCUUGGAAGUCAGCCAGCUGCCAAUCUGUCAGCUUGCAUCCGGAGGGCUGGAGAAGAAGCGCUGUGUUAACUGUGCAACUCUGUGCUGCUGUGCACGCUCGAAUCCCAUUGCUGCCACGUGAACUAGCUCAGGCUAGCCUGCUGGAGGAUGAAAAGCUGCCAUGUGAACUAGCUCAGGCUAGCCUGCUGGAGGGUGAAAGACCAUAGGGAGUGGAGCACAGUCAUUCCAGCCGAGGUCAUCCUGGACCAGUCUGCAGCCAGCUAACAGCCAAACAGAAGAGCCACCCAGCUGACCCGCAGCUGACCAAAGAUGCAUGAAUGAGCUCAACUGAGACCAGAUAAAGCACCCAACUGGGCCCAGCCUAAACUGCCACCCUUCAGAAUCAUGAGC
RNAcentral lists this long non-coding RNA (1109 nucleotides) under Homo sapiens (human). RNAcentral's name for it is "HSALNT0396191". The record is from RNAcentral. Lineage: Eukaryota; Metazoa; Chordata; Mammalia; Primates; Hominidae.